Long non-coding RNA from Mizuhopecten yessoensis (Yesso scallop), 389 nucleotides. RefSeq lists it as uncharacterized. The record is from RefSeq and is a predicted model, not a curated record. The transcript has 3 exons. NCBI's taxonomy places the organism in Eukaryota, Metazoa, Mollusca, Bivalvia, Pectinida, Pectinidae.
ACAACAAAGCAGUCCAUCUUAAACUGUGGAUACAUUUCAGUGUAAAGUAAAUCAGGGGAAAAUUGUACCAUCAUUUCAGGACAACACAAGAUGGAGUAUAAACAACUGAUCUUCCUGUUGGUUGUUAUGGUGAUGUACGCCGCCCUAGUCGAGGCAGACUACCCACGUUAUGGUUACUACGACUACGACUAUGGAUUUCCUCGAUCAUUCAGAGCAAUGCGCCAACGAUACAUGAUGAGAGAAUUUUACGACGAAUUAUUCGAUGACUGAAUACUAUGCGUUCAGCUGUGGUCGUUGGCUCUUUUACAUGUGCCUUGCUUAUAUUUGUGUUCUCUUUUAAUCCUCGUUAAGGUCGCUAUUGGAAAUAAAUGAUUAUGUAAUUGUUCUUG